AUUGAACGCUGGCGGCAGGCCUAACACAUGCAAGUCGAGCGGUAGCACAGGGAGCUUGCACCUGGUGGCGAGUGGCGAACGGGUGAGUAAUAUAUCGGAACGUGCCCUAGAGUGGGGGAUAACGUAGCGAAAGUUACGCUAAUACCGCAUACGAUCUAAGGAUGAAAGUGGGGGAUCGCAAGACCUCAUGCUCAUGGAGCGGCCGAUAUCUGAUUAGCUAGUUGGUGGGGUAAUAGCUUACCAAGCCGACGAUCUGUAGCUGGUCUGAGAGGACGACCAGCCACACUGGGACUGAGACACGGCCCAGACUCCUACGGGAGGCAGCAGUGGGGAAUUUUGGACAAUGGGCGAAAGCCUGAUCCAGCAAUGCCGCGUGCAGGACGAAAGGCCUUCGGGUUGUAAACUGCUUUGUACGGAACGAAAAGGUAGACUCCUAAUACGAGCUGCUGAUGACGGUACCGUAAGAAUAAGCACCGG
This 477-nucleotide ribosomal RNA is filed under the name uncultured bacterium. RNAcentral's name for it is "bacterial SSU rRNA". It matches the Rfam family "Bacterial small subunit ribosomal RNA", at positions 30 to 496 of the family's 1533-position model. The record is from RNAcentral.